AUCCCCGUCUUCCAAGGGAUGGUGUGUGCAAAAGAAAUAAAGGCCUGAAAAUCCAGAGAGUGCCAAAAUUCUCUCUUUGUCUGUGAGAACUGACAGUGAACUCACCUUGCCUGAGAUGGUUGCACAACAGCGAGGCAUAGGGGAGAUGUCACCAACUUCUCUCCAGAUACUCAUGAUUCAGGGUGCUAGAACUGCCAGGAAGGAUCCAAAUGAGGAUGA
Molecule: long non-coding RNA, 219 nt
Organism: Talpa occidentalis (Iberian mole)
Lineage: Eukaryota; Metazoa; Chordata; Mammalia; Eulipotyphla; Talpidae
Exons: 3
Source: RefSeq, a predicted model, not a curated record